Molecule: ribosomal RNA, 466 nt
Filed under: uncultured bacterium
Lineage: Bacteria
Description: partial 16S ribosomal RNA
Rfam family: Bacterial small subunit ribosomal RNA
Source: RNAcentral
GAUGAACGCUGGCGGCGUGCUUAACACAUGCAAGUCGAACGAUGAAGCCCAGCUUGCUGGGUGGAUUAGUGGCGAACGGGUGAGUAACACGUGAGUAAACUGCCCUUAACACUGGGAUAAGCCUGGGAAACUGGGUCUAAUACCGGAUAGGAGCGUCCACCGCAUGGUGGGUGGUGGAAAGAUUUACCGGUUUUGGAUGGACUCGCGGCCUAUCAGCUUGUUGGUGUGGUAAUGGCGCACCAAGGCGAAGACGGGUAGCCGGCCUGAGAGGGUGACCGGCCACACUGGGACUGAGACACGGCCCAGACUCCUACGGGAGGCAGCAGUGGGGAAUAUUGCACAAUGGGCGCAAGCCUGAUGCAGCGACGCCGCGUGCGGGAUGACGGCCUUCGGGUUGUAAACCUCUUUCAGUAGGGAAGAAGCGAAAGUGACGGUACCUGCAGAAGAAGCACCGGCUAACUACGUG